AUACUUACCUGGCAGGGAAAAUACCAUAAUCAUGAAGGCAGUUUUCCCAGAGCGAGGCUUAUCCAUUGCAUUCCGGAUGUGCUGGCCCCUGCGAUUUCCACAAAUGUGGGAAACCUGACUGCAUAAUUUGUGGUAGCGUGGGACUGCAUUUGCUCACUCCCUAG
Small nuclear RNA from Pteronotus mesoamericanus, 164 nucleotides. RefSeq annotates it as U1 spliceosomal RNA. The record is from RefSeq and is a predicted model, not a curated record. NCBI's taxonomy places the organism in Eukaryota, Metazoa, Chordata, Mammalia, Chiroptera, Mormoopidae. The transcript has a single exon.